CGUGGGUAACCUGCCCAAGAGAUCGGGAUAACACCUGGAAACAGAUGCUAAUACCGGAUAACAACAGAUGAUGCCUAUCAACUGUUUAAAAGAUGGUUCUGCUAUCACUCUUGGAUGGACCUGCGGUGCAUUAGCUAGUUGGUAGGGUAACGGCCUACCAAGGCGAUGAUGCAUAGCCGAGUUGAGAGACUGAUCGGCCACAUUGGGACUGAGACACGGCCCAAACUCCUACGGGAGGCAGCGCG
RNAcentral lists this ribosomal RNA (245 nucleotides) under uncultured Lactobacillus sp. RNAcentral's name for it is "partial 16S ribosomal RNA". It matches the Rfam family "Bacterial small subunit ribosomal RNA", at positions 116 to 353 of the family's 1533-position model. The record is from RNAcentral. Lineage: Bacteria; Bacillati; Bacillota; Bacilli; Lactobacillales; Lactobacillaceae.